UCGCCUGUUUUAUCAAAAACAUAGCUUUAUGAAAUUUAUAUUAAGUUUUACCUGCCCAGUGAAAAGAUUUUUUUAACGGCCGCAGUACUUUGACUGUGCUAAGGUAGCAUAAUAAAUUGACUUUUAAUUGAAGUCUUGAAUGAAUGGAUAUAUGGAUAUAAACUGUCUUAGUUAAAAUAUUUUAAAGUUAAUUAAAAGGUGAAAAUUCCUUUAAUUUAAUUUAAUAGACGAGAAGACCCUAGGAGUUUAAUAUUUUGUUGGGGCAACAUUAUAACAUAUUUAAAUUUAUAAUAAUAGAUUAUAUAUAACGAUAAUUUUAUUUAAAGGUAAACUACCCUAGGGAUAACAGCAUAAUUAUAGUUUUUAGUUUGUGACCUCGAUGUUGGACUAGGAACUUGCAAUAUUAGCUAUAUUGUUUGUUUGUUCUGUUCGAACAAUUACACCUACGUGAUCUGAGUUCAGA
Molecule: ribosomal RNA, 463 nt
Filed under: Dyakia sp. 2 PJ-2020
Lineage: Eukaryota; Metazoa; Mollusca; Gastropoda; Stylommatophora; Dyakiidae
Description: partial large subunit ribosomal RNA
Rfam family: Bacterial large subunit ribosomal RNA
Source: RNAcentral